This 513-nucleotide ribosomal RNA is filed under the name uncultured Saccharomyces. RNAcentral describes it as "eukaryotic LSU rRNA". It matches the Rfam family "Eukaryotic large subunit ribosomal RNA", at positions 62 to 578 of the family's 3401-position model. The record is from RNAcentral. Lineage: Eukaryota; Fungi; Ascomycota; Saccharomycetes; Saccharomycetales; Saccharomycetaceae.
AAACCAACCGGGAUUGCCUUAGUAACGGCGAGUGAAGCGGCAAAAGCUCAAAUUUGAAAUCUGGUACCUUCGGUGCCCGAGUUGUAAUUUGGAGAGGGCAACUUUGGGGCCGUUCCUUGUCUAUGUUCCUUGGAACAGGACGUCAUAGAGGGUGAGAAUCCCGUGUGGCGAGGAGUGCGGUUCUUUGUAGAGUGCCUUCGAAGAGUCGAGUUGUUUGGGAAUGCAGCUCUAAGUGGGUGGUAAAUUCCAUCUAAAGCUAAAUAUUGGCGAGAGACCGAUAGCGAACAAGUACAGUGAUGGAAAGAUGAAAAGAACUUUGAAAAGAGAGUGAAAAAGUACGUGAAAUUGUUGAAAGGGAAGGGCAUUUGAUCAGACAUGGUGUUUUGUGCCCUCUGCUCCUUGUGGGUAGGGGAAUCUCGCAUUUCACUGGGCCAGCAUCAGUUUUGGUGGCAGGAUAAAUCCAUAGGAAUGUAGCUUGCCUCGGUAAGUAUUAUAGCCUGUGGGAAUACUGCC